RNAcentral lists this small RNA (98 nucleotides) under Epilithonimonas hominis. Its description in RNAcentral is "Chryseobacterium hominis Flavo-1 RNA". Lineage: Bacteria; Pseudomonadati; Bacteroidota; Flavobacteriia; Flavobacteriales; Weeksellaceae. The record is from RNAcentral.
CCCCGAGUUGAGCGGAAAUCCUUUUUUGCUUAUGCUUAAUCUCUAUUGAUGACCAAGAUUUCUGCAAAAAAGAUUGGGAGCGGAAGGCGGAUUAGGUG